RNAcentral lists this long non-coding RNA (260 nucleotides) under Homo sapiens (human). RNAcentral's name for it is "LHRI_LNC1326.1". Lineage: Eukaryota; Metazoa; Chordata; Mammalia; Primates; Hominidae. The record is from RNAcentral.
CUUAGAUUGAGCCCAGCCCAGGAGGAGAAGUGAGCUGAUGGAAGCAUGGAAGGCCCUGAUAGGUUUAUUCCCCUUGCGAAGUUCUGCUUCCCCCUUCACAUAUCACUGCUGGGAGCCAGCCCAGCCUGCCCACCAGGAAUUUCAUUCCACCAUAGCUCUUAGAGGCCGAGGUGGGAAACCUCAAGAAGAGAGCAGUCCAUGAGGGGUUUUGGAGUAGGGACUCGGAAGAGGGACAAGGAUGGAAAAAAGGCUUAGGGAAG